Molecule: transfer RNA, 36 nt
Filed under: Drosophila machalilla
Lineage: Eukaryota; Metazoa; Arthropoda; Insecta; Diptera; Drosophilidae
Description: partial tRNA-Leu
Source: RNAcentral
CUCCAUAUAUAAAGUAUUUUACUUUUAUUAGAAAAA